Molecule: ribosomal RNA, 497 nt
Filed under: uncultured bacterium
Lineage: Bacteria
Description: partial 16S ribosomal RNA
Rfam family: Bacterial small subunit ribosomal RNA
Source: RNAcentral
GAUGAACGCUGGCGGCGUGCCUAAUACAUGCAAGUCGAGCGAACAGAUGAGGAGCUUGCUCCUCUGACGUUAGCGGCGGACGGGUGAGUAACACGUGGAUAACCUACCUAUAAGACUGGGAUAACUUCGGGAAACCGGAGCUAAUACCGGAUAAUAUAUUGAACCGCAUGGUUCAAUAGUGAAAGACGGUUUUGCUGUCACUUAUAGAUGGAUCCGCGCCGCAUUAGCUAGUUGGUAAGGUAACGGCUUACCAAGGCAACGAUGCGUAGCCGACCUGAGAGGGUGAUCGGCCACACUGGAGCUGAGACACGGUCCAGACUCCUACGGGAGGCAGCAGUAGGGAAUCUUCCGCAAUGGGCGAAAGCUUGACGGAGCAACGCCGCGUGAGUGAUGAAGGUCUUCGGAUCGUAAAACUCUGUUAUUAGGGAAGAACAAAUGUGUAAGUAACUAUGCACGUCUUGACGGUACCUAAUCAGAAAGCCACGGCUAACUACGUG